Molecule: ribosomal RNA, 440 nt
Filed under: uncultured bacterium
Lineage: Bacteria
Description: bacterial SSU rRNA
Rfam family: Bacterial small subunit ribosomal RNA
Source: RNAcentral
CCUACGGGAGGCAGCAGUGGGGAAUAUUGCACAAUGGGGGAAACCCUGAUGCAGCAACGCCGCGUGAGUGAUGAAGGCCUUCGGGUCGUAAAGCUCUGUCCUAAGGGAAGAAUACUGACGGUACCUUAGGAGGAAGCCCCGGCUAUCUACGUGCCAGCAGCCGCGGUAAUACGUAGGGGUCUAGCAUUAUCCGGAAUUACUGGGCGUAAAGGGUGCGUAGGCGGCCCUUCAAGUCAGAGGUGAAAGGCUACGGCUCAACCGUAGUGAGCCUUUGAAACUGGAGGGCUUGGGUGCAGUAGAGGACCGUGGAAUUCCCAGUGUAGCGGUCAAAUGCGUAGAUAUUUGGGGGAAACCCAGAUGCGAAGGCGGCUCUCUGGCCUGUAACAGACGCUGAGGCAAGAAAGCGUGGGGAGCGAACAGGAUUAGAUACCCCAGUAGUA